RNAcentral lists this transfer RNA (62 nucleotides) under Radix sp. MOTU5. RNAcentral's name for it is "tRNA-Cys". The record is from RNAcentral. Lineage: Eukaryota; Metazoa; Mollusca; Gastropoda; Lymnaeidae.
AAUUUUUUAGUUUAAAAAAAACACCUAAUUGCAAGUUAGUAAAUUACAAGAGUAAAAAAUUU